Long non-coding RNA from Chelonus insularis, 298 nucleotides. RefSeq lists it as uncharacterized. The transcript is spliced from 2 exons. Lineage: Eukaryota; Metazoa; Arthropoda; Insecta; Hymenoptera; Braconidae. The record is from RefSeq and is a predicted model, not a curated record.
ACUGGUUUAAAGUGAUUGGAAAAAUUAAUUUCUCUUAUAUAUGCUUUACUUUAACAUAAUUUAUAAUAAUUAACAAGCUCAGCUAGAAAAUUGUGACGAUACAUAAACCGAAUAAACGGGAAAUUGCACUCUCUGUUACGAUGGAAUUAGUAGUAACGAGCCGGUUUGUCACCUCAGGGUGGUAAUCAAUAAGAAAGAAAAGAGAUACUGAUGAAGAAAGAUUUGAAGAAAGAGAGAGAGGGAGAGUAUUAACACUCCUGGUGCUUGAACUACUUUCAUAUUUUCUCCAGUCAAACAU